AGUGAACGCUGGCGGUAGGCCUAACACAUGCAAGUCGAACGGCAGCACAGUAAGAGCUUGCUCUUACGGGUGGCGAGUGGCGGACGGGGGAGGAAUACAUCGGAAUCUACUUUUUCGGGGGGGAUAACGUAGGGAAACUUACGCUAAUACCGCAUACGACCUACGGGUGAAAGCAGGGGAUCUUCGGACCUUGCGCGAUUGAAUGAGCCGAUGUCGGAUUAGCUAGUUGGCGGGGUAAAGGCCCACCAAGGCGACGAUCCGUAGCUGGUCCGAGAGGAUGAUUCGCCACAUUGGCACUGAGACACGGUCCCGACUCCUACGGGAGGAAGCAGUGGGGAAUAUUGGACAAUGGGCGAAAGCCUGAUACAGCAAUACCGCGUGAGUGCAGAAGGACUUCGGGUUGUAAAGCCAUUUUGUUGGGAAAGAAAAGAAGCAGGUUUACCCCCGGCUGUAAUGACGGUACCCAAAGAAUAAGCACCGGCUAACUUCGUG
Molecule: ribosomal RNA, 492 nt
Filed under: uncultured bacterium
Lineage: Bacteria
Description: partial 16S ribosomal RNA
Rfam family: Bacterial small subunit ribosomal RNA
Source: RNAcentral